This 221-nucleotide unclassified non-coding RNA is filed under the name Hevea brasiliensis (rubber tree). Lineage: Eukaryota; Viridiplantae; Streptophyta; Magnoliopsida; Malpighiales; Euphorbiaceae. The record is from RNAcentral.
GCUGUUGGCGUAGACCGACGUGUGCCCGCGGAGUUUUGUUCCUCCGGCGUUCAUGUGGUGGACGAGACAGAUGUGAGCGCCGGGGAUGGCCUGCGAUAUCCGGUCGAUGUUCCCCAUNNNNNNNNNNCUUGCCCGAGUUCUCGUCGGCGGCGCCGGAAGCCUUCGCCAGUGUAUCGAUGAACAGGGCGACCACCGGCAUGUUGUAGAUGCUCUCGAUGCCA